UACGUAGGGGGCGAGCGUUGUCCGGAAUCAUUGGGCGUAAAGCGCGUGUAGGCGGCCCGGUAAGUCCGCUGUGAAAGUCCUGGGCUCAACCCUGGGAUGCCGGUGGAUACUGUCGGGCUCGAGUCCGGAAGAGGCGAGUGGAAUUCCUGGUGUAGCGGUGAAAUGCGCAGAUAUCAGGAGGAACACCAAUGGCGAAGGCAGCUCGCUGGGACGUGACUGACGCUGAGACGCGAAAGCGUGGGGAGCAAACAGG
Molecule: ribosomal RNA, 253 nt
Filed under: uncultured bacterium
Lineage: Bacteria
Description: partial 16S ribosomal RNA
Rfam family: Bacterial small subunit ribosomal RNA
Source: RNAcentral